AUGUCACUCUUUCUUUUCUUCAAUCUUUUCUUCCUUCUUAGCUUCUUUCACUUCUUUCACUUCCUUUGUUGCUUUAGCUUCCUUGCUCACUUCUUUCACCUUUGCCUUUCCAGCUUUCGGCUUCAUGAAGCAAAAGCAAGAACAACAAGGACACUGAAACAAGAACUUCAUUUCCACUCCAAAAAAAGUGCUCAGAUCUCAAUUUUGUGUCCUCUUCUUAUCUUCUAA
Molecule: non-coding RNA, 228 nt
Organism: Vicia faba (fava bean)
Lineage: Eukaryota; Viridiplantae; Streptophyta; Magnoliopsida; Fabales; Fabaceae
Source: the annotation of a GenBank genome assembly